Cloeon dipterum is the source of this 1179-nucleotide long non-coding RNA. RefSeq lists it as uncharacterized. The record is from RefSeq and is a predicted model, not a curated record. The transcript has 3 exons. Lineage: Eukaryota; Metazoa; Arthropoda; Insecta; Ephemeroptera; Baetidae.
CAGGUUUAGGUUUAAGGGUGAAUGGUAUCGGAAAACUUAGUGCGCACCCAUUUCCAGCCACAACAAGGGGUUGACCUGCAUUCAGAACAAUUUACGCGCAGCAAAAGGAGUUCAUUCACACCGUUUUGGCUGUUUUCUGUGCACGCAACACUCGUCUUUAAGUAGCCAGAAAUGGCACUUAAGCCGGGAACGCUAAUCUGUUUUGCUUUAAUUUUACUUAUUGCUUUCUUGGCGUGCGAGGGUGAAGCGAAAAACAAGGCUGGAAAAGUGGUAAAGAAUGCUGCCAAAGCGUACGCUGGACACAAAGCGGCGAAAUCAUCGUGGAAAAUAUUCAAAAUAAUCGGCAUGAUAAUUUUCGUGGGGGCCCUGGUCGGCGGGAUCGCGAUGUGCUUCAUCCUGGCGCGCAGGAGGGCGGGCGGAGGUGAGGGCUUCGGCCUGCUCAGGGAAGGACCCUAGCGACUCUACCCACAGGUCGCGCGCUACCUGGUCGGGCUGGCUGGCUUCUGUCUCUUCCUUUGGUGCCGCAACCUUAUGCUGAAGGCAUACCGAUCCGAGAAAGCCGCUGGUCCAGACUGAAUUUUGUUCAAAUUGUCACAACAAACGCAUAUUUUCCUGAAGCAUUCGAGUUGCAUAUUCUCUAUGGAUUUAAAAUAUUAAUUUAUAUCAUUAUUUUGCCAAAAUAAAUUAUGAUUUUAAAUAGCUAUAAGGGAUUUAGAAAUAUUUUGAACCUUAGUCAAACAAGAUUAUUUGCAAAAAUUAACCUACUUAGCCCACCAUACUAUAUUUUAAAUUAAAACAACUUAGAGAAUUCUUCGAAUUUUCGUGCUCAUUAAUGAAUGUGGAACAAUAUAAAUACUAUCCAAGCAAGAUAGCAGUCUUUAAAAGUGCAAAAUGUUCCGGCUACAUGCCGAGUAAAAAUGUCCUGGAAAUCGUCCCAAAAUGAACCAACUCAUUGUCAGUUGCAAAAGCACAGAGUUUAAAUUUUGAGCUAUAUGGAAUGGAGCUACCACUGUGUUCGUAUACCUCAAACAAUGUUGCAAACUUGUUAUUUUUAUGUGGAAUAAUAUGCUGCACUAUUGUGAGUAUCAAAAUGCAAUUAUAAAUGUCAGCCAUGUAAAGCCUAACAAAUGUUCAGAAAUAUUUAGACAUCGGCGUAAAAUAAAUGUAGAAUUAAGCAGA